RNAcentral lists this ribosomal RNA (500 nucleotides) under uncultured bacterium. RNAcentral describes it as "partial 16S ribosomal RNA". It matches the Rfam family "Bacterial small subunit ribosomal RNA", at positions 30 to 523 of the family's 1533-position model. The record is from RNAcentral.
AUUGAACGCUGGCGGCAGGCCUAACACAUGCAAGUCGAGCGGAUGAGAGGAGCUUGCUCCUCGAUUCAGCGGCGGACGGGUGAGUAAUGCCUAGGAAUCUGACCAGUAGUGGGGGACAACGUUUCGAAAGGAACGCUAAUACCGCAUACGUCCUACGGGAGAAAGUGGGGGAUCUUCGGACCUCACGCGAUUGGAUGAGCCUAUGUCGGAUUAGCUAGUUGGUAGGGUAAAGGCCUACCAAGGCGACGAUCCGUAACUGGUCUGAGAGGAUGAUCAGUCACUCGGGAACUGAGACACAGUGCAGACUCCUACGGGAGGCAGCAGUGGGGAAUAUUGGACGAUGGGCGCAAGCCUGUUCCAGCCAUGCCGCGUGUGUGAAGAAGGCCCGCGGGUCGUAAAGCACUUUAAGUUGGGAGGAAGGGCUUACAGCGAAUAACUGUGAGUUUUGACGUUACCGACAGAAUAAGCACCGGCUAACUUCGUGCCAGCCGCCGCAGUAA